UCUGGACGAUCGAACAGAAGACAAGGGUUGAAACCCUAGCAUCAAGAAAUCAAGCAAUUUAGCUUGAAUCAAAGGAAAAAUUCGAUGCAUGAUUCCCUAAACUCGAGUAGCUAACCUCAAUUUCCGAAGUGGAGUGAAAGAAGAAGGUUCGAACGCUAGGAAAUCGGAAGGAUCACAAGACCAAGGUAAUUCCUCAAUUUAGGCGACUUGGAGAAUUGGAGCGAGCACAUGUUCAUGAUAUGUCAUACCAAACGCUUCCGCUAGCUGCACUAAUGUUUUGGGUCAAAAUUUCUAUUUUGUACAACUUGU
Molecule: long non-coding RNA, 309 nt
Organism: Helianthus annuus (common sunflower)
Lineage: Eukaryota; Viridiplantae; Streptophyta; Magnoliopsida; Asterales; Asteraceae
Exons: 3
Source: RefSeq, a predicted model, not a curated record